CCCUACGGGCGCAGCAGUGAGGAAUAUUGGUCAAUGGGAGAGAUCCUGAACCAGCCAAGCCGCGUGAGGGAAGACGGCCCUAUGGGUUGUAAACCUCUUUUGUCGGAGAACAAAACCCGGGACGUGUCCCGGACUGCGUGUAUCCGAAGAAAAAGCAUCGGCUAACUCCGUGCCAGCAGCCGCGGUAAUACGGAGGAUGCGAGCGUUAUCCGGAUUUAUUGGGUUUAAAGGGUGCGUAGGCGGAGUGUUAAGUCAGCGGUCAAAGCCCGGGGCUCAACCCCGGCCCG
Molecule: ribosomal RNA, 287 nt
Filed under: uncultured bacterium
Lineage: Bacteria
Description: partial 16S ribosomal RNA
Rfam family: Bacterial small subunit ribosomal RNA
Source: RNAcentral